This 64-nucleotide transfer RNA is filed under the name Elliptorhina chopardi. RNAcentral's name for it is "tRNA-Cys". Lineage: Eukaryota; Metazoa; Arthropoda; Insecta; Blattodea; Blaberidae. The record is from RNAcentral.
AGUCUUAUAUUCAUUAAAUGAUAAUAGAAUGCAAUUCUAUAGGAGUAGGUAAUUACUAAGGCUU